UGGGGAAUAUUGCGCAAUGGGCGAAAGCCUGACGCAGCGACGCCGCGUGGGGGAUGAAGGCCUUCGGGUUGUAAACCCCUUUCAGCAGGGACGAAGCGAAAGUGACGGUACCUGCAGAAGAAGCGCCGGCUAACUACGUGCCAGCAGCCGCGGUAACACGUAGGGCGCAAGCGUUGUCCGGAAUUAUUGGGCGUAAAGAGCUCGUAGGCGGUCCGCCACGUCCGCUGUGAAAACCUAGGGCUUAACCCUGGGCUUGCAGUAGAUACGGGCAGACUAGAGGUAGGUAGGGGAGAAUGGAAUUCCCGGUGUAGCGGUGAAAUGCGCAGAUAUCGGGAGGAACACCGGUGGCGAAGGCGGUUCUCCGGGCCUUACCUGACGCUGAGGAGCGAAAGCGUGGGGAGCAAACA
RNAcentral lists this ribosomal RNA (407 nucleotides) under uncultured Actinomycetales bacterium. RNAcentral's name for it is "partial 16S ribosomal RNA". It matches the Rfam family "Bacterial small subunit ribosomal RNA", at positions 355 to 774 of the family's 1533-position model. Lineage: Bacteria; Bacillati; Actinomycetota; Actinomycetes; Actinomycetales. The record is from RNAcentral.